Molecule: ribosomal RNA, 1597 nt
Filed under: Triticum aestivum (bread wheat)
Lineage: Eukaryota; Viridiplantae; Streptophyta; Magnoliopsida; Poales; Poaceae
Description: partial small subunit ribosomal RNA
Source: RNAcentral
AUAAGAUCGGAUCGGGGCGGCGCCAGCGGCAGAAUCCGCCAAAGCGGAGGCAUGUGGGUGGGAGUGGCCAACAAACUUCAAUACUACUCCGUUUUUAUUUCUGAAAAAGAAAUGAUAAGCCGUGCUCAUGGGGUCCAAGUCAUCGGUGUCCAAGCGAACCUAACUUGCGCAAUGUAAACACGCCGGAAACGAACGGUGAUGUCACUAACGCGAAAUGCGUUCGGUUUUCGGAGUAUUAGUCAAAGCGCACUAGUAGGACGCCCCGCGUUAUCUUAUCCCCGUCGCCCCCUCUAUAUAUACCCGCCCUCCUGCCAGAUUGUAAAGGUCGUGAAACAUAGCGAGCAACAGCAAGAACAAGCGCAGGAAUAUAUCCAUCCAUAUACAGCAGCGAGCAUACCUUCCUUGCCUUUCUCCGUGAGGUCCAUUGCAAUCCAGAAACCUUCAAGUAUGGGCAGAUCUGCAAUUUCUCAGGCCCUUCCGGUGCACCAGGAAGACGAGGACCUGUUCGAGACCUCCUCCUCCUUCUCCUGCGACUCCGACGACGAGGCCCAGUUCUCCGACGGCGAGGACCAGUUUGUGCCGGCUUCCCCGCCGGUGCGGAGACUGAAUUCUGACAGCGUCUACGAUCUGUCGUCCAUGAAAGCAGAGCUCUCUGUCAAGAAAGGAGGGUUGUCCAAGUACUACGACGGAAAGUCCCAGUCGUUCGCGUGCAUGUCCGAGGUGAGGUGCCUGGAGGACCUGCCCAAGAAGAGCCCCUACAAGAAGAUCAAGUCGUGCAGGAGCAACAUCGAUCUGGACGGGAACCAGAAAGCCUGCCCCGUACCUGGUUCUCACAACAGCAAAGGAAUGGCCAAGCCCUCUGGAAGCUCUUGCGCGAAUCUGAUGGCCCGGAAUAACAGCGCAAACAUGCUCUACAGGCCUCCCGCGAUCCCUGUCAACAAGAGCGCGUGCCAUCAGUAGGGCUCGCGGCUGGAAAUGUCUGUCCACGGCUGGCCUCGCGCCUCUUCUUUGUUCCUUGAUGAGGAUUUUUCUUGGCGGGCGUAUUAGCCUGUCAAAUGUAAAGAGGCUUUUGAUUCUCUCAUGUUCAGGAAGAUAUUGAUUGAUUCGGUGUGUAAAUAGAGAGACCGGUUGUAUACCAAACAUUUUUUUUACUGCAGUGCCUGAUUAGCAAAAUUCUCUGAGAUCCGAAUUCUGAGAUCUUAUAACUAUCCUGGUUAUUCUGCUUUUGAAGAAAAAUGGGACAAAGGCAUAAGCCGUGCUCAUCCGGUCCAAGUCAUCGGUGUCCAAGCAAACCUAACUUGUGCAAUGUGGAGAUGUCCCAAUUGGAGUUGCAGAAAAGAGUCUAGUUUGCACAAGGUUAGGUCUUGACGCUCGUUACUCCAAGUGAACCGCCGAUUCUGCGAGUGAAUUUCCUUGACAAGGCGUCAUGGAAUAAGUUGAUGAUCCUUCUCCUAUCGAAGCUUGACUUAUUCUUGUCUCUCGCCCGGUAUAUCUGAUUGAAAUCACCGCAUACAAACCAACCCUCGCCGGGCUGCGGUAUAUUGGACCCCAAACGCCCUAAAAGCUUCCAGUUUGAGAAUUUAUGGAUUUAUAUACG